This is a long non-coding RNA of Mustela erminea (ermine), 1685 nucleotides long. RefSeq lists it as uncharacterized. The transcript has 3 exons. Lineage: Eukaryota; Metazoa; Chordata; Mammalia; Carnivora; Mustelidae. The record is from RefSeq and is a predicted model, not a curated record.
CUCGCGCCAGGACCAACCGGCACCUCCGUGGGUGUCCUGGGUCCGGGCGAUGCGGCGACACUUUCCCGACACCUUCCCGGCGGGAAGCCAGGCUUGGUUUGCCGCAGGUCCCGUUGCGCGUGGGGCCGCCGCUCAGGUUGCGAGACCCGCCGGGGCUGAGCAAACAAUGAGUUAAGAGCUGUCUUUUCCUGGUUCCCCUUUCUGCCAUGGGGGAGCCCCGUUGGACUGACGUCUCCCCAGACUCUUCUCUGAAAUGCUGAGCCCAAGGCCAUGGGCACAGGAGGAUCACGGAGGACUCUCCCACCCUGGAGGACAUCCGUUUGCACCAGGGACAGGAUUCUGCACGAUGUCAUCGAGACCAUGUAAGGAAGACAAGGACACUCACUGGAGAGGGCUAGCCCAGCCCAAAACACCCCCAUGGGUGUGGUCUUCAUGCUCAAACAGAGGACCACGUACACGUUGCGAGAUGGAGCCCUGUACGCAGAAACAUCCUUGUCAUUCACCAGCAGGUGACUUUGCCACCCCAGAGCGUUUCCUCACUUUGACUCCCUUCCCCAAGGCACUCUGUGUGGCUGCAAAGGGAACAUGCCCAGGGGUGAGCCCUGACUGGUGCUUCUGACCAGCCGUCAUGCCCUCAGGCCAGCCAAGGUGAAGAGUCUGCUUAGGCCAUGGCCCCCUUUCCUCAGGGUAUGCACUCAGCAGGAGACCUCAUUGCUCAUUGUCAAGGUCAGAGUGAAACCACAGAUCCGGCAGAUACCUACACAGCUUGAUUCUAGGACCUGAGUGGGUCAGCCUGGAAUCCACCAGGCCUCCCUCCCCACACCCACCCCACUCAGUUUGCAUGCAGCACCUCCUCCCUGUGGCAGUGACAUUGUUCCUUCUGCGGGGUCAGAAGGGGGAGCUCGCAGAACCAGAAAGAGAGGAAGCUUAGCCUGCGUUCCCAGCUAUGGAAACAUAUGACCAUGGAAAUAUCAUAAAUCCAUCUCCACCAACUUCUUCUUGAUGUGAAAACUGAGCUUAGAAGAGAUGCUUUAUUUCUGUGGUGAGGCUGACAUUGACAGACUGCAGCAUUCAAUGCUUGACAUGUUUGGGAGAGAAGAGGCAAGCCAAGAGGGGCUGUCCAGAGUUGACCUCCAUGGGAUAGUGUUCAGUUGAAUUGGAAUUGACUGGAGAUAGUGGUGUAGAGAGAAUUGGUGGUGAGGUAUGACUGCACUGUGUACAGUAAAGAAUGAACCUUGUCCAAAGGAAGGUUUGGUUGGUGCCUCUAAUUCCUAAUAUAUAACCUCUAAGCCCUUGGAAUGUCCUGCUUGAUAGGUUUACCUGGGGCCUUGGGCCAUGCCAAAUAGUCUAGACUAAUAAUGUGGUUUAUGUUGGGGGCCUUGGGCUGUGUGGUAUCAGCUUGACUCUUGGAGGAGGUGGAGACAGAAGUCAGCCUUCCUGGUGAUCAGCCAUGUUUAUAUAACUGAUUACCAUAAAAUCCUGGACACCAAGGCUGCGUGAGCUUCCCUAGUUGGCAAUACUCCAUGCAUAUUGCCAUCUUGUUGUUGCUGGGAGAAGGAUACACCAUUCACACAAUCCCAAACUAGACCCUCGUAUCUGGAACUCCCCUGGACCAUGCCCUAUACACCUCUUCUCUUUGCUAAUUUUAAUGUGUAUCCUUUCACUGAAAUAAACCAGACCUGUGA